GAGGGUAUAGCUCAAUGGUAGAGUGUGUGCUUAGCAUGCAUGAGGUCCUGGGUUCAAUCCCCAUCGCCUCCG
Molecule: transfer RNA, 72 nt
Filed under: Camelus bactrianus (Bactrian camel)
Lineage: Eukaryota; Metazoa; Chordata; Mammalia; Artiodactyla; Camelidae
Also listed under: 2 other names
Rfam family: tRNA
About the family: Transfer RNA (tRNA) molecules are approximately 80 nucleotides in length. Their secondary structure includes four short double-helical elements and three loops (D, anti-codon, and T loops).
Source: Rfam by way of RNAcentral